CUGCUGCCUUCCGUAGGAGUUUGGGCCGUGUCUCAGUCCCAAUGUGGCCGGCCACCCUCUCAGGUCGGCUACUGAUCGUCGCCUUGGUGGGCCGUUACCCCGCCAACAAGCUAAUCAGACGCAGGUCCAUCCCAUACCACCGGAGUUUUUCACACCGGGCCAUGCGGCCCUCGUGCGCUUAUGCGGUAUUAGCAGUCAUUUCUAACUGUUAUCCCCCCGUAUGAGGCAGGUUGCCCACGCGUUACUCACCCGUCCGCCGCUAAG
RNAcentral lists this ribosomal RNA (264 nucleotides) under uncultured bacterium. Its description in RNAcentral is "partial 16S ribosomal RNA". The record is from RNAcentral.